AGACUAAGUUAAACAAGUAAAAACUUCUAAUUUUAUACUUAGGUAGUUUAAUUCUAUCUUUAGUCUU
RNAcentral lists this transfer RNA (67 nucleotides) under Allobathynella sp. JHS-2017. RNAcentral's name for it is "tRNA-Ser". Lineage: Eukaryota; Metazoa; Arthropoda; Malacostraca; Bathynellacea; Parabathynellidae. The record is from RNAcentral.